GACGAACGCUGGCGGCGUGCCUAAUACAUGCAAGUCGAGCGGACAGAAGGGAGCUUGCUCCCGGAUGUUAGCGGCGGACGGGUGAGUAACACGUGGGUAACCUGCCUGUAAGACUGGGAUAACUCCGGGAAACCGGAGCUAAUACCGGAUAGUUCCUUGAACCGCAUGGUUCAAGGAUGAAAGACGGUUUCGGCUGUCACUUACAGAUGGACCCGCGGCGCAUUAGCUAGUUGGUGGGGUAAUGGCUCACCAAGGCGACGAUGCGUAGCCGACCUGAGAGGGUGAUCGGCCACACUGGGACUGAGACACGGCCCAGACUCCUACGGGAGGCAGCAGUAGGGAAUCUUCCGCAAUGGACGAAAGUCUGACGGAGCAACGCCGCGUGAGUGAUGAAGGUUUUCGGAUCGUAAAGCUCUGUUGUUAGGGAAGAACAAGUGCGAGAGUAACUGCUCGCACCUUGACGGUACCUAACCAGAAAGCCACGGCUAACUACGUGCCAGCAGCCGCUGUAA
This 512-nucleotide ribosomal RNA is filed under the name uncultured bacterium. RNAcentral describes it as "partial 16S ribosomal RNA". It matches the Rfam family "Bacterial small subunit ribosomal RNA", at positions 28 to 523 of the family's 1533-position model. The record is from RNAcentral.